RNAcentral lists this ribosomal RNA (607 nucleotides) under Epizoanthus protoporos. Its description in RNAcentral is "partial small subunit ribosomal RNA". It matches the Rfam family "Bacterial small subunit ribosomal RNA", at positions 743 to 1481 of the family's 1533-position model. Lineage: Eukaryota; Metazoa; Cnidaria; Anthozoa; Zoantharia; Epizoanthidae. The record is from RNAcentral.
AGGCUGAAACACGAGGGUGUGGGUAACAAACAGGAUUAGAGACCCUGGUAGUCCACACUGUAAACGAUGAAGAAAAUGUUAAUGCAACCCCGAAAGGUAGUAAUCUUCCGCCUGAGUAGUACGAUCGCAAGAUUAAAAUUCCAAAAAUUUGGCUGUUCACUGUUUCGAUUAGAGGAGCGUGUAGUUUAAUUCGAUAAACCGCGAGAUACCUUACCCAAACUUGAAUCACCCAUCCGAGAUUGAAUGGUCUCGGGAGGGUAGACCGGUAUUGCAUGGCCGUCGUCAGUUCGUGUAUGAAACCUUUAACGGACCUAACCCGGGGGGUUAGCCGCGGAUGAAGUCAGGUCUUAUGAUCCCUAUGUUUGGGGAUAAUAUGCGCUACAUUUUCUUAUACAAUGGGAAACCUGAAAGGUGAAACCCCAAAGUAGGAGUUCGGUAGGUCAUUGUAAGAUGACCGAAAGUUGAAUUUAAUAGUAAUCGGAAAGUAGAGCGUUCCGGUGAAAUGAUCUAAGUGUUAGCACAAAUCGCCCGUCACCUUAACUUAGAACGAUAGUACGGACGCAGCCCUGCCAGCUCGCAAUGUCGAGGCCCCCCCCUCGAGGGGGGG